Molecule: long non-coding RNA, 220 nt
Organism: Mus caroli (Ryukyu mouse)
Lineage: Eukaryota; Metazoa; Chordata; Mammalia; Rodentia; Muridae
Source: RefSeq, a predicted model, not a curated record
CCUAAUCUCACAGACCCUUCAGCAGGACUCCAGGGCAGGUUCCAGCGCUGCACCUGAAGGAACUCCCUACAGAAGCCUACAGAGCAUAAUAUGUCAUUGUAUAUGUAGAAGCACCACAACUGAUUCCACUAGUUUCUUCCCCAGAGACAUUUGAAUUGUGGCCUCUAAAGAGCAGUAUUACCAGUAAAUAAGCAGCAUUUCCUGGCUUGAAAAAGGAGAG